Teleopsis dalmanni is the source of this 498-nucleotide long non-coding RNA. RefSeq lists it as uncharacterized. Lineage: Eukaryota; Metazoa; Arthropoda; Insecta; Diptera; Diopsidae. The transcript has 3 exons. The record is from RefSeq and is a predicted model, not a curated record.
GUUCAAAUUUUUUCAAAGAUAAUUUUUGCAUGAGUUUGGACUGUAUGAAUUCAGUGCAAGCACUGAAGAAAAUGAACACAAACUUUCGGAUUGCAAUUUCUUUAGAAAUGAGAAUUGCCAUUGCGCUGUAUUGCGUUGAUUCGUCGCCUGAAUACAGAAGCGUAUCAAAUCUCUUUGCCAUUGGAGGUGUGGAAAAUUUUUUUACUAUUGUACAUGAAUGGAUUCCCAUUAACAAGUGACAAGGUGAAUGAGGCCAUCACAGGAUUUGAUGCUUUUGAGUUUAUAUAACCAAAACAAUAUUAAUUACAAACAAUACUAAAAGAUAGAAGCCACAUUAAAACAAAACCCGAAUCUUAGAAUGCUGAUCACUACUAUAAGAGAUGGUACUCGACCAUUCUAUUUGCUCUUCUAUUUUAUAGAUACCGUAUUCUUAACAUACAUGUUGCCUAUCCGGGAAGAUCUAAUGACUUUCAUUUUUGAAUACUCAUUACUAAAGAG